This 557-nucleotide ribosomal RNA is filed under the name uncultured bacterium. RNAcentral describes it as "bacterial SSU rRNA". It matches the Rfam family "Bacterial small subunit ribosomal RNA", at positions 102 to 694 of the family's 1533-position model. The record is from RNAcentral.
ACGGGUGAGUAACGCGUGGGAAUCUACCGUACCCUACGGAAUAGCUCUGGGAAACUGGAAGUAAUACCGUAUACGCCCUAACGGGGAAAGAUUUAUCGGGGUAUGAUGAGCCCGCGUUGGAUUAGCUAGUUGGUGGGGUAAAGGCCUACCAAGGCGACGAUCCAUAGCUGGUCUGAGAGGAUGAUCAGCCACAUUGGGACUGAGACACGGCCCAAACUCCUACGGGAGGCAGCAGUGGGGAAUAUUGGACAAUGGGCGCAAGCCUGAUCCAGCCAUGCCGCGUGAGUGAUGAAGGUCUUAGGAUUGUAAAGCUCUUUCACCGAUGAAGAUAAUGACGGUAGUCGGAGAAGAAGCCCCGGCUAACUUCGUGCCAGCAGCCGCGGUAAUACGAAGGGGGCUAGCGUUGUUCGGAAUUACUGGGCGUAAAGCGCACGUAGGCGGGUAUUUAAGUCAGGGGUGAAAUCCCGCAGCUCAACUGCGGAACUGCCUUUGAUACUGGGUAUCUUGAGUAUGGAAGAGGUAAGUGGAAUUGCGAGUGUAGAGGUGAAAUUCGUAGA